Suncus etruscus (white-toothed pygmy shrew) is the source of this 390-nucleotide long non-coding RNA. RefSeq lists it as uncharacterized. The record is from RefSeq and is a predicted model, not a curated record. Lineage: Eukaryota; Metazoa; Chordata; Mammalia; Eulipotyphla; Soricidae. The transcript has 3 exons.
CCUAGUAAAAUGCCUAACUGGACACUGGCCGAACCUGUUUGCUAGCAGGUAUUCAAAGUGACAGGGAAAGUCCCCGAGGCAAAGUCAUCCUGCUGAGGUUCUCAAAGACAAGGAGAGAAGACAUUGUCUUGAAGAUGCUCUGGUUUGACUUGGCCUUUGGAAGGAAAUAGGCUGACAGAAAGAGAGGGAGGUGAGGCUUUUUUGAACACAGACAUAAACAUCUUGGGAUGGUUUGCUGCUGGAAUAAUAUCUCUGCUCCCAGUCAUCAUUGUCAUAGGAAAUAAUGCAGUGGCCCUUAUGUCCUCGUUCGUCAUGAACUUGGAUGUCUGGGAGCAACUGGGCUGCGCUGAGCUCUGGAACCAGUGGUGUCGGCCACGGACAUCCUGCACG